This 113-nucleotide transfer RNA is filed under the name Thermoplasmata archaeon. RNAcentral describes it as "tRNA-Trp". It matches the Rfam family "tRNA". Rfam says of the family: Transfer RNA (tRNA) molecules are approximately 80 nucleotides in length. Their secondary structure includes four short double-helical elements and three loops (D, anti-codon, and T loops). RNAcentral also lists the same sequence under 1 other name. The record is from RNAcentral. Lineage: Archaea; Methanobacteriati; Thermoplasmatota; Thermoplasmata.
GCCGGGGUGCCCGAGUGGCAAGGGGACCGGGCCGGAGCUGAGGUAAUGGAGCCGCGGCUCCAACCCGGCGAGGACCACCGAUCCUCUCGCGGGUUCAAAUCCCGCCCCCGGCA